UACGCUGAUAUGUUGAUAAUUUUACUAAUGCACUUGACAGAACGAUAAAGUUUAUUCUCAAGCUAUAUUUUAUAUACCAUAGUAGUGUUUAAGUAUUGGUUUCACUGAAUCUUCUAUCAAGUUACUGACGUGUUCCAAAGUGGCGGCACACAGAACCCAAAUGUAAACACGUUCUUUUGAAUUGUGCCAAAUGCAGAUAACAAUGAUUUUUCUUUAUCUGUUCAGUUUUUUUAAUAGUUUGACAUUUGUUUUUGAACAGGUAAAAAAUUUAGGUAGGAACCUAACCUGUAACUUAUCGAUUUUCUACAUUUCCGACAGUGACCUAAAGUGUUGACAUUUCAAAGGCUUGUGUUAUAACAAUUAGGAUGUCAGUGUUACACAGCUGAAUAUACAUGUAUACAUUGCCAAGUAGCUUGAAGAACAUGAAAGGGACAAGGAUUAAUCAUUUUGCCAUUCCUUGGCAAUUAUGACAGAAGCUCAAGCAGCUAUCAUGAAGCCAUAAAUAAAGUUAUUUAAUCCUUUUAAAACUGAAAACAUUCUUUUAAAACUUGGUUACAGUUCUUUCUAAUGAAUAAAAUACAUUAACAGAUUCAUGUAACAUCAUUAAAUGUGAAAGUUUUUAAAUGAAGUUUGGCUGUGAAAUCACCACUAUGACACUUACAAAAAUAAAUUCAAAUAAAAAUAUAGACUGGUACAGGACUAACUGGUAUCAGUGAUAUAAAUUUCUGAUCCCAGGUAAAUUAAUAAAAUUAUAUUAAUUGUUUAUAUUGAUCCUGAUUUUAAAAGGAGUAGUGUGUCCUGUGGCUAUACAGGUAACUGUAUGUUAUGAUCAAGAAGUGUAAAAUAAUUGCCAUAUCAAUGUGUUGCUAAAGUAAAAAUAAUUUUUGCCACAAAUAUACAUGUAUAUUUGCAUCAGCUUUAAU
Lingula anatina is the source of this 923-nucleotide long non-coding RNA. Lineage: Eukaryota; Metazoa; Brachiopoda; Lingulata; Lingulida; Lingulidae. The record is from RefSeq and is a predicted model, not a curated record.